Bombus impatiens (common eastern bumble bee) is the source of this 513-nucleotide long non-coding RNA. RefSeq lists it as uncharacterized. Lineage: Eukaryota; Metazoa; Arthropoda; Insecta; Hymenoptera; Apidae. The record is from RefSeq and is a predicted model, not a curated record. The transcript is spliced from 2 exons.
AACGUGGGUCUCUCCCAGAUUCCAAUUUUUUGUUGACUUCUUCUACGUUUAUGUGCUGCCGCAAUAUAUAAGAUAUAAAUAAAAAUGAAAAUGAGAAAAAAGGAAAAUGAGAAUAGUAUACAAAUUAUUACCGAAAAGUUCGGGCACAUGUGGCUUAAUUAUUUUGAUAUAGUUCUGACCAUUUUUCUCAUGUUCUUUUGUUUUUAUAGGACGAAGUUUUGUACUAUAACCAUAGAGAUGUAUGAUCAUAAUUUUUCAGUUUGUUGUAGCAACGUGUCUUCCAUGACGAUAACGUUAAAAUAUUUAGAAGCAAACGAUUUAUAUAUAAACAUAUUGCUUAUGUUGUUUGAGCAGAGAUGAAAUAAUAUCGACGUAUUGGAAAAAUAUUCUUAUACUUGAAGAAAAUAGAUGAUAUGAUAAGCCUGGAAUGCAAAGGAGUUUCGUUCUUCCGCCAGACGUGGUUGCCAAAUAUUUGACUCAAAAUAUCAUUCUACAUAAAUAAUGUCAAAUAAG